Molecule: ribosomal RNA, 447 nt
Filed under: uncultured bacterium
Lineage: Bacteria
Description: bacterial SSU rRNA
Rfam family: Bacterial small subunit ribosomal RNA
Source: RNAcentral
GCCAGACUCCUACGGGAGGCAGCAGUGGGGAAUAUUGCACAAUGGGGGAAACCCUGAUGCGGCGACGCCGCGUGAGUGAAGAAGUAUUUCGGUACGUAAAGCUCUAUCAGCAGGGAAGAAAAUGACGGUACCUGACUAAGAAGCCCCGGCUAACUACGUGCCAGCAGCCGCGGUAAUACGUAGGGGGCAAGCGUUAUCCGGAUUUACUGGGUGUAAAGGGAGCGUAGACGGCAGCGCAAGUCUGGAGUGAAAUCCCAUGGCUUAACCAUGGAACUGCUUUGGAAACUGUGCAGCUAGAGUGCAGGAGAGGUAAGCGGAAUUCCUAGUGUAGCGGUGAAAUGCGUAGAUAUUAGGAGGAACACCAGUGGCGAAGGCGGCUUACUGGACUGUAACUGACGUUGAGGCUCGAAAGCGUGGGGAGCAAACAGGAUUAGAUACCCGCGUAAA